Molecule: long non-coding RNA, 17876 nt
Filed under: Podarcis lilfordi (Lilford's wall lizard)
Lineage: Eukaryota; Metazoa; Chordata; Lepidosauria; Squamata; Lacertidae
Source: RNAcentral
CCAGUAGCUGUGGCCAGGUUGUUGAGUACAGCACAUGCACUGAAGGACCUGCACUGACUACCAGCCAGCUACUAGCCAUGUUCAAGGUUUGUUGCUAACAUACAAAGUCAGUGCUUUUUGGGGAUACGCAGGGGUAUGCAUACCCCUAAACAUUUUUUGAAUCUAAGUUUGGUCUCAUUGAGGGGCAGUGUUUCAAUAUGAGUAGGAAAAUGAGAGUACCCUUAAACAUAUUUUUUUAAAGGAAAGAAACAUAAACAAAUUGGGCCCAGCUUACCUGAAAGAUCCUUUGUACCUACUUGGAUCUUUAAGAUCACUUAGAUGAGUAUCCUUCAACCUUUUCAGACCAGAGAACCACUGUUAACCCAAACAUGCAUUUGGGAGUCCAUUUCUUAAUUUAUAUCAUACAAUUGCAUAGUGGUAGUACUGCUGUUGAAACCCAUCUCAGAUAAGAGCCACCAGCUGAAGACCAAUGACUUAGAUCAGGCAAAGCUUUAGACAUGGCUUCACACCCUACAAAAUAUUUCAGAGUGGUAACCCCAAAACAGCCAUUUUCUGCCAUUGGCCUGUGGAAUGCCCUUCCCUCUGCCAUAUGUGAAACAGAAACCAUCAAUUGCUUUGGAUGUCUUCUAAAUACAUAAUGUUGUAUUGACCUAAUGUGUCCUGUGUGCAAGAGCACUGCGCAAGGUCAUCUGCUUGUGCAAUGAGCUCCCUCACACUUUCCGUCCCCCCCAACCCCCCAAAUUGGCUGAACCUCCAAAACAGCACAUAUGUGGUACACACUUUGCUUUUUAGAGUACAGGAAGCAACACAGCAGGCGUCAUGAAGAGCUUACAAGCUACACUUUGAUAUAAAAUACAACACAGUUUGAAAGCAAUAGGCAAAGGCAUACUAAAAGGUGACAAAUAUGCAGAAAUGCAGAUGCGAAGACUUAUUUUCAGAAAGGCCAAGUAUAUCCCCUACCUCAUAGGCAUCAGCUUACAUUCUGCCUCAUGAUUCUCUUGAAAUUCUCUGCUUCACAAUUACUACUUCUCAAAUUCAAACUUUUUUCAAACACUUCGCAGUUUUACAUUAACAGUGUGGUUUCUUGCUAUCCAAGCACAUGUAAUCUCUCCCCCCACCCACCCCAAUCCCUGAUAUAUCUUAGGCUAAUAUUAAAAUCACCCUUACUUCCUUGAUCUUGCACACUGCCAUGCAGGUCAACCACAGUAUUUAAAUAUUAAAAGGCCUAAAACUAGAACGCACAGGAAAUGGAAUGAACAUUUAAUCCAUAAUUAAUCUAAACUCUUUAAGCAAUAUUAAUUCAUUACUGGACAACUCUAGUAGAUACCAGUAUAAUUCCCAUCUUGCCAUUUAAUUUAUUUAAAAUAUUUUUAUAUGGUCUUCCAUACAAAUCCCAAUGAAGUUUACAACAACUUUGUAAGGUAGAUCACUCAUAAUGGGCAGUAUCCAAUCAAGUACUGUAUCUCUGCUAAUGCAAGGACUUUCAGCUGUGCAAUGGAACUUCCCUUCCCUAUCCGCUCCCUGCAUGGUCCCUGAAUCUGUUCUGGAAUUUCCCCAACUCUCUGAAGCAGAUUUGGGGAAUGCGUGGGGUGCACUGCAAGAGGAGAGGGAGGUCUUGUUCCAUUGUUGUUGUUGUUUAGUUGUUUAGUCGUGUCCGACUCUUCGUGACCCCAUGGACCAGAGCACGCCAGGCACUCCUGUCUUCCACUGCCUCCUGCAGUUUGGUCAAACUCAUGUUAGUAGCUUCGAGAACACUAUCCAAGCAUCUCGUCCUCUGUCGUCCCCUUCUCCUUGUGCCCUCAAUCUCUCCCAACAUCAGGGUCUUUUCCAGGGGUCUUCUCUUCUCAUGAGGUGGCCAAAGUAUUGGAGCCUCAGCUUCAAGAUCUGUCCUUCCAGUGAGCACUCAGGGCUGAUUUCCUUAAGAAUGGAGAGGUUUGAUCUUCUUGCAGUCCAUGGGACUCUCGUUCCAUAGUGCAAGCAAAAAAUUGUUGCACUACCAGAAUCACUUUGUUGGAUACUGCCCACUGACCUGAAGUGUUUAAAUUAAGGAGAAGUCUUAAUUUUUCUUAAAUGAAUGAAAAAAACCAACAAAAAAACCAACAAAACCAGUUCUUCUGCUUGUUAUUAACCACAAUUAUAACCAAAUACAGGAAUACCAGCUGAAAUUCCUGCUGUAAGUGGACAGUAAAGGUAAAGGUAAAGGAUCCCUGACAGUUAAGUCCAGUCGCAAACAACUCUGGGGUUGCAGCGCUCAUCUCGCUUUACUGGCCGAGAGAGCAGAUGUUUGUCCGCAGACAGUUUUUCCAGGUCAUGUGGCCAGCAUGACUAAGCUGCUUCUGGCGAAACCUGAGCAGCGCAUGCAAAUGCCAUUUACCUUCCUGCCAGAGCGGUCCCUAUUUACCUACUUGCACUGGUGUGCUUUCGAACUGCUAGGUUGGAGCUGGGACCGAGCAACGGGAACUCACCCCAUCACAGGGAUUCGAACCGCCGACCUUCUGAUCGGCAAGCCCAAGAAGCUCAGUGGUUUAGACCACAGCACCACCUGCAUCUCUUAAGUGGACAGUACAUCCACACAAACCAUCACAUGCCAUUCUGGAGUGCCAUCUAACCUUUAAGAAUGGUGGGAAGGUAAAGGCCUAGAGAAGCAAAUGAGGCCACGAUAUUCCACUUGCUAUUUAGAGCUCAGGUUGACUGUAGUAAAUAAUUAAAGAUGGCAUGGAAAGGAAUAAAGCGGAAUAAGGGGGAAUGAAAAAAGUUCUACUUUUCUGCCACACCAUGACAGCUUGUGGUAGUUUAUCAGGAAUCAGCAGCAUGCUAGUGUACACUGACCAAUUACUCUUGCUUUGUUUCUCCCUUGGUACAAGCAGGAUAAACAAACGAGGGACCCUUGGCUUCCCAUUACAUCCAAUUAGAGGUCAUGAGGUUGUUGUUUUUGCUGCCCAACAAGCUGCAAUAAUUAAGCCAACAACAAACCAUAAUCCUUGGUUUGGAUGUAACCAGCUUUGCUGAUUUGUUUAUUCCACUCAUACCAGGGGAAGAGUGAAGCAGGAGCAAUUUGGCAGUAUGCACUAGCACACUGUUUAUUCCCAAUAAACCACAUCAGAAAGGCUGGUUCAUUGUUAUGUGUAGCCAAUAUGUUGUGGCAGUUAAGAGAGGUAGAUCCUGACCAAAAAAAAAUUGACGAUUAUGUCAUUUUUAAUAAAUGCAGCCUGCUGCUGCACUGAUCCAGAAUGCCACAGCCUAAGUCCCAACAAUUAACAUUUAUAAUGGAGCAACCAAAAAUGGGAAAAAGAGAAAAAAAGCCUAAAACCUGCUCUGCACCAUUUGUGAGAUACUAAAUAAACAGCAGCCCACUGGGAUUGUUGUUGAUGAUGUUCCAGUUUUAACAAUCGUGCUGUAUUUGCAAGGCCAAGCAGAGAGCAGAAACAGAAGAUUAACCAAGCUCCUGGCGGGCUGCCAUAUAAAACGAAUGGGGUCAAAUUGUGGCAGUCUGUCCAGGACUCUACCGAGGUAACAGCUGCCUGCAAAACACAUUCUGCCACAGUGAGAAGAAAACAGAAUCAUGUAUGAUUUGCCUCUGGGCAAGUUGAUGGUUUACCUAACUUAACAGAGCAUGCUACACCUUUGCCUAUUGCAUGCUGCUUCCACUUGCCAGAGUAGUGGUACCUUUACAUCUCACUAUUAGCAAUGACAUCUUAAAAGGCAUCAUGAGUACUAUUCAUAAAUAUGUUCCAGUUUCAGCUCCUGUUUUUAGUGCAUCUCACACAUUUACCUAUUUAAAUUCAUUUUCUAGAGUAUGAACAAAAUAACCGAGACUUAAGUUAGAUCAUUAAAUUAAGUAGAAUGUUUUUCAGUGUGCAGUGCUUCCAAAAUAAAAUAUAUGAAGGAUACAACUGAUGCAAAUAACAAGGCUAAAAUUAACUCCAGUUUUAUGUGCACUCAUACUGAUAUAAAUACAAAUAGUACAUUGUGUGUACUUUGUGCAAGUACAAAUUUAUUUAUACAAAUAGUGUAGCGAAACACAUGCAAAACAAUCAGAUCAGAGAUUCACUACAAGGAAGUGCUAUUUUCUUGCAGUUACAAUAAUUGAAUAGUCUGCAAAUUAAUAAUAAAAAAACAGAAUAUGCUAUACCAUAUCAGAAUAAGCUGUGAAUUAAUAGGAAAUAGAACUUUACACAGCUAUGGGGGAUUCUAAUGUAUGUUGCUUGGGAGGUUGUAUAUCUUGUCUGUUGAGGGAUACACACACACACACGGCUGAUAAAUAAAAAUACCUCCACAGUUAAUCAGCACAUUUACUUACACAGAAACGUGGUUCCAUAUCUUCUUAUAUUCAUUAAGAUCAUAUUGGAAAGAAGCCAUAAAAACAGCCUGAGAUAUAUAACUGGCACACAGCAAAACAAAACACCCCCCAAGGUUUAAAAAGUGUAGCAUUAAACAAAAAUAUCAAAUACAAGCAUCUGACUUCAGUGUGGUUCUAACAGCAUUAGCACAGUUUGUCCCCUGAAGCACCAAAUGGCUUAACAGAUGAUAACUCGCUUGCCUUCUGGCCAAAGCAUUUCACACAGCUAUGUAAGUAUUUCUGGCAAAGAUAGCACUAACUCUCAGACUAGUUAGUAGAUGAACAUACAUAUGUCUGUAAGUUUGAUUCAGUACAUAAAUGGUCAGAAAUUAAACAAUGCAAUAAUACCUCACAAGUAAAAACAAAAGCCAGACAACCAAUUUUUGAGUCUCAGAAAGCCUGGAGAGGAGCCUGGGCAAAUAUGAAAGCUGAGGAAGGCUGUGACAUUUCCAAAUUACACAGCUAGAUCUUUGAAAUUUCAAAUAAAAUGCAAUUUCAUUUAUUUAUCACUAAGCACAGCAGCAAGAUACUGUUCAGUCAAUGUUUAAAUCUCAAAAUAAAAAUCAAAAGCACUUUUGCUACCAAAAUCAGAUAAAAACACUCAAUACAAAACAUGGAUGGAUGCAUGGAUCCAUACAGUGCAUGGAUGAAAGAAGGACUGAGGUACAGAACUUCACAAAAACAAUAGCCAAAUACCUUGCAAGCUAUGUGAAAUUCCCAUAACCCAUUCCAAAACACAUUCACUUAAAAUACGGCCCACAGCUUGAAUAUUGCUCAUUUUCCCACAUGUGUCCUGAAUUAACUACCCUGGUUCUGCCCUUCUCCCCCUGCAGGGGCCUAUUUCCAACACUGCAAAAUGAAAGAGAGCUUAGGGACCCCAGGUUCAUGACAUCUAUUAUAAUGAAAAAUUGAAUAAAAAUGUUUUACAAAAAAAAGUUAAUCAAAUUUUAAACUGAAUAUGAAAAGAACGUUAUAGCUAAUAAAAAGAAGCAUCAGAGGGUGACACCAUCAAAUUUAUCCUUAACACAUAUAAAAUGAUGAGCAUGCACAAUUUACCCUGCAUAUCAAUUUUGUUUAAAAAAUAUAGAAGAGCCAUUCCGUUUGCCUUCACACAAAUUCCUGUGUACUUGAAAACUUACUGUAAGAAGGUGAUUCAUCAUUCCUCCUCAAGAAUUAUCCCAUGAUAAUUAAUGAAUACCUAGUAUGUCAGCCUAGAUGCAGCAGAGCACAGAAAAGUACUCUCCAAUCAACUUCCCCUUCCCCCAAGGGAAAUAUUUAGGUCUGUAAUCACUAAAACUUCACACAGGCCCUUUUCAUUCAUUUCUUCCUGCAUGGGCCUUUUAUGCAGAAUAACAUCAACAACAAAACCAAAAUGCAACAACAUGCUGAUUACUUUAAAGGGUAAAUUUGGAUACUGUUGUCAAGCAAUGAGUUCCUUAUCAGAAAAAAAAGAUGUGCUGUGGUUCACACAAAUUUGAUAUUAACAGAAAAAUCAUUAGAGGAAAACCACACAUCCACAUCAGUAAGGGGCUUCAAAUUGAUUCUUGUGUGAAAUAAAGCUUGCAAACUCUGCAUUGCAUUCCAUUACAAAGUGAAGGCUCUUCAAAAUGUGGCUGACCUUUUCACAAUAGCAUUGAUUCAGCUGGAGAGGCUGCAAAACCAAGAAGCAAAUAAAGUUACCUAAAGGGUAACAGGUUAACGUAAGCUGCACAACAUUGUGGCGAGCCUGACCUUCAGAAUUUGAGGUAUCAUCAGUGCCCCCAAACCAAAUAGAGGGGAGAAUGCAUUGCCACAGUAACAAGUAGUCUUACUCCAAAUGACUGUAGACAGAUUCCAAUGGUUUUCAAAGGUUAUCUAAAGAAGGAUAGUCAGAAAAGGUGCAAUCUUUAACAUCUCCCUUAAGCUCACUUUUAAAAUCACCAAAGUAACAAGGCCUGAAGGAGCACUGUGUGCUUUUCUUCAUUUGUCUUGUUGGCAGAUGGUGUUAGGAAUGCAUAAGGUAACUCCACAUUUUUCACUGAUGUUUUUACUUCCUUGAGUGCAUAGUUCAAGGGCCUUAAGGGAUUCUUUGGGUCUGUGCAACUGCAGACAAGGUGAAAGUUAUCAACAAUUUCUGAAAAAGCUGUAAUACGUUUUUCCCCUUGGUUUAAGAUAUGGGGGGGGGAGAACUUGCUUUCUACACAGUUCCACAUCUGCUUAAAACAUCUGUGCAAGACAAAAACAAGUUUGAAAACUUCUUCUAUUUCCACGCAUUCUUUAGCAUCCUUAGAUACAGCAUCAGACUCAUUCUCCUUGACCAUUUCACCCAUAAAGUUGCAUCCCAUGACCAAUUUUUCUAAAUUUUAAUUUAAACAGAAAUUAUUAUAUUCAAUUUGAAUGCCCCCUCCCACAUUCACCAAUGCUUUAUAUUGUUUCAUUGGUAACAUAAGAGGAAAAGUGACUGUUACUCAUAUUUAAUCUAAGGACAACCACAGAUUAGGCAUUUGGCUAAGUUUAAGAAAUUAUUUCUACUGCUCAAUGACUACACAGCAGCAUGACUGAAUAUUCACCUGGUCAUCACUUUUACACUAAAAGUUCUGGUGACAGAUAAUAAUAAUAAUAAUAAUAAUAAUAAUAAUAAUAAUUUAUUAUUUAUACCCCGCUCAUCUGGCUGAGCUUCCCCAGCCACUCUGGGCGGCUUCCAAUCAAGUGUUAAAAACAAUACAGCAUUAAAUAUUAAAAACUUCCCUAAACAGGGCUGCCUUCACAACUGAAUGGCUUAUUGCACUACUGCUGGAUACAGCAUAGUGAAAUCAUUCAAAGUUGUUACACUAAACAGAAAGAGCUGCAGAUGUGGAAUGGACAUACUGAAUAUAACAUGCUAUGUUAAAGUCAUGUUUUACUCACCACACCACUAAUAACACCAUCCACACCAUUGCUGAUAAUAAGAGAAUUGCAACUAGCCAACUUGCUCUGCACUGUGCAGAUAGGAUAUGCCUGUAGUUUAAGACACUCUGUGCACUGUUGCCAUUCAUAUCAUUAGAACUGGGUUGUAAAACUAUGUGAUUUCUCAAUAUGUGAAUUAAGAGACUACAUUUACAAAUGUUCAGGUUGUCCUUACAUUUGCAGAUGCAGUUGCAUAUUCAUUACUUAUACCCCUGUUUCAGCAAUAAAUACAAUAAAGGCACCCAAUUGCAAUCUCUGUGUUAAAGCCUGGGGGGCAAAAAUGACAAAGAUGAAUGAGACAGACACAGUAAUCAAAAUGAAGAUAUGAAGGGAAAUUGGCAAAUGCUUUGCAUAGAGGGACUGUGAUUGUGAAAAGAAAGAAAGAAAGAAAGAAAGAAAGAAAGAAAGAAAGAAAGAAAGAAAAGCUCAUACUCGUAUCUCAAAGCGUUAUAUCAAGGAUUGAGAACAUAUGCAUCUGCUAUUUAUGAAGCCCCCUUCAUGGAUCACUGCCUUGCCGUGGCGAAGGGGCUUGAAGAACUCAGAGAAGCUAUGAACUAUGCCAAGCAGGGCACCCAAGAUGAACAGGUCAUAGUGGAGAGUUUUGACCAAACGUGAUCCACCUGGAGUAGGAACCGGCAAGCCACUCCAGUAUCCCUGCCAAGAAAACUCCAUGGACAAAGACAGGCAUAUAAAAGUUAUGACGCUGGAAGAUGAGCCCCUCAGGUCGGAAGGUGUCCAACAUGCUACUGGGGAAGAGCGGAGGACAAGUACAAGUAGAUCCAGAGCUGAUGAAGCGGCUGGGCCAAAGCCGAAAGGACGCUCAGUUGUGGAUAUGCAUGGAAGCGAAAGGAAAGUCCAAUGCUGUAAAGAAAAAUAUUGCAUAGGAACCUGGAAUGUAAGAACUAUGAACCUGGGUAAGUUGGAUGUGGUCAAAAAUGAGAUGGCAAGAAUAAAUAUUGACAUCCUGGGCAUCAGUGAGCUAAAAUGGACGGGAAUGGGCGAAUUCAGUUCGGAUGACUAUCAUAUCUACUACUGUGGGCAAGAAACCCGUAAAAGAAAUGGGGUGGCCCUCAUAGUCAACAAAAGAGUGGCGAAAGCUGUACUGGGAUGCAGUCUCAAAAAUGAUAGAAUGAUCUCGAUACGAAUCCAAGGCAGACCUUUUAACACCACAGUAAUCCAAGUUUAUGCACCAACUACUGGUGCUGAAGAAACUGAAAUUGACCAGUUCUAUGAAGACUUACAAGACCUUAUAGAAGUGACACCAAAGAAGGAUGUUCUUCUCAUUAUAGGGGAUUGGAAUGCUAAAGUAGGGAAUCAAGAGAUAAAAGGAACAACUGGCAAGUUUGGCCUUGGAGAUCAAAACGAAGCAGGGCAAAGGCUAAUAGAGUUCUGUCAAGAGAACAAGCUGGUCAUCACAAACACGCUUUUCCAACAACACAAGAGACGACUCUACACAUGGACAUCACCAGAUGGGCAACAUCGAAAUCAGAUUGAUUAUAUUCUCUGCAGCCAAAGAUGGAGAAGCUCUAUACAGUCAGCAAAAACAAGACCUGGAGCUGACUGUGGCUCAGAUCAUCAGCUUCUUAUAGCAAAAUUCAAGCUUAAACUGAAGAAAGUAGGAAAAACCACUGGACAGGUAAGAUACAAUCUAAACCAAAUCCCUUAUGAAUACACAGUGGAAGUGAGGAACAGGUUUAAGGAUUUAGAUUUGCUGGACAGAGUGCCUGAAGAACUAUGGGUGGAGGCUCGCAACAUUAUACAGGAGGCAGCAACUAAAACCAUCCCAAUGAAAAAGAAAUGCAAGAAAGCAAAGUGGCUGUCCAACGAGGCCUUACAAAUAGCGGGGGAGAGAAGGCAAGCAAAAUGCGAGGGAGAUAGUGAAAGAUACAGGAAAUUGAAUGCAGAUUUCCAAAGAAUAGCAAGGAGAGACAAGAAAGCCUUCUUAAACGAGCAAUGCAAAGAAAUAGAGGAAAACAACAGAAUGGGAAGAACCAGAGAUCUGUUCAAGAAAAUCGGAAAUAUGAAAGGAACAUUUCGUACAAAGAUUACCAUAAUAAAGGACAAAAGUGGUAAAGACCUAACUGAAGCAGAAGACAUCAAGAAGAGGUGGCAAGAAUACACAGAGGAAUUAUACCAGAAAGAUAUGGAUGUCUCGUACACCCCAGGUAGUGUGGUUGCUGACCUUGAGCCAGACAUCCUGGAGAGUGAAGUCAAAUGGGCCUUAGAAAGCACUGCAAAUAACAAGGCCAGUGGAAGUGAUGGUAUUCCAGCUGAACUGUUUAAAAUUUUAAAAGAUGAUGCUGUUAAGGUGCUACACUCAAUAUGCCAGCAAGUUUGGAAAACUCAGCAGUGGCCAGAGGAUUGGAGAAGAUCAGUCUACAUCCCAAUCCCAAAGAAAGGCAGUGCCAAAGAAUGCUCCAACUACCGCACAAUUUCACUCAUUUCACAUGCUAGCAAGGUUAUGCUUAAAAUUCUACAAGGAAGGCUCAAGCAGUAUGUGGACCGAGAACUCCCAGAAGUGCAAGCUGGAUUUAGAAGAGGCAGAGGAACCAGAGACCAAAUUGCAAACAUGCGCUGGAUUAUGGAGAAAGCUAGAGAGUUCCAGAAAGACAUCUACUUCUGCUUCAUUGACUAUGCAAAAGCCUUUGACUGUGUCGACCACAGCAAACUAUGGCAAGUUCUUAAAGAAAUGGGAGUGCCGGAUCACCUCAUCUGUCUCCUGAGAAAUCUCUAUGUGGGACAAGAAGCUACAGUUAGAACUGGAUAUGGAACAACUGAUUGGUUUAAAAUUGGGAAAGGAGUACGGCAAGGCUGUAUAUUGUCUCCUGCUUAUUUAACUUAUAUGCAGAAUUCAUCAUGCGAAAGGCUGGGCUGGAUGAAUCCCAAGCCGGAAUUAAGAUUGCCGGAAGAAAUAUCAACAACCUCAGAUAUGCAGAUGACACAACCUUGAUGGCAGAAAGUGAAGAGGAAUUAAAGAACCUUUUAAUGAGGGUGAAAGAGGAGAGCGCAAAAUAUGGUCUGAAGCUCAAUAUCAAAAAACUAAGAUCAUGGCCACUGGGCCCAUCACCUCCUGGCAAAUAGAAGGGGAAGAAAUGGAGGCAGUGAGAGAUUUUACUUUCUUGGGCUCCAUGAUCACUGCAGAUGGUGACAGCAGUCACGAAAUUAAAAGACGCCUGCUCCUUGGGAGAAAGGCGAUGGCAAACCUAGACAACAUCUUAAAAGCAGAGACAUCACCUUGCCAACAAAGGUCCGUAUAGUAAAAGCCAUGGUUUUCCCAGUAGUGAUGUAUGGAAGUGAGAGCUGGACCAUAAAGAAGGCUGAUCGCCGAAGAAUUGAUGCUUUUGAAUUAUGGUGCUGGAGGAGACUCUUGAGAGUCCCAUGGACUGCAAGAAGAUCAAACGUAUCCAUUCUUAAGGAAAUCAGCCCUGAGUGCUCACUGGAAGGACAGAUCGUGAAGCUGAGGCUCCAAUACUUUGGCCACCUCAUGAGAAGAGAAGACUCCCUGGAAAAGACCCUGAUGUUGGGAAAGAUGGAGGGCACAAGGAGAAGGGGACGACAGAGAAUGAGAUGGUUGGAUGGUGUUCUUGAAGCUACCAGCAUGAGUUUGGCCAAACUGAGGGAGGCAGUGGAGGACAGAAGUGCCUGGCGUGCUCUGGUCCAUGGGGUCACGAAGAGUCGGACACGACUAAACGACUAAACAACAACAACAAUUUAUGAAGCAUUUUAAUUGAAGACAAUUGUAAAGCUCUUUAGAAAAUCACAUUUUCUUACCACCACUGAAGCGGAAUGACCUUGAAAGUGCAUUAUAGGAACUGGGUAACACCCACAACAAAAUUGCAAGAAUUAUUAGGUCAGAAAAGGAAGAUGGCAUUCCUGCCAACUAACCUUUCAGUCUGACAAGAUGUAAUUCUACACCUCUGGAUAUGUCUAAACAUUGAAGAUUAAUGCCAUCACAUUUGUUUAUCAGAUUCUUUAAAUGGGAACAAAAUGCUGUUGUGCAAAAAAGAAAAAAGAAAGAAAAGGAAGGCCUGAAAUAGGUAUAAGGAGGCCAAAGUAGAAAAUAAGCCAAAAAGAACCUGGUACAAAAGAGUUCUUUUUAAAAUAUCAAUAGCUUAAAGAACAUUCAUAAAAAUUACAAAUCAAAGUAUAAAUGGGGUAAUUGGAAAUUUAAAUGUGAUAGUGAUAGUUGGGUAGGCUCAGUACUUUUUUAUUUUGUUUUUUUAAAAAGAGGUGCUGGUAGUCAUAUCUUGAUAAAAGUAUGACAGGCCAGCACAAAAUGGCUGUCUUGUGUAGCAAAAACAGAAGUGGUGGUACUCUGUACCAGUGAGUACAAUCACUAAAAGCACUGGGCAGACCCAUAUAUCUUUCUUAAUGUUUGUACAAAUGUGCGGGUACAAUAAAAACAUUUAUAAAUGCACAAAAUCCCUCUGUGUGGUCUCCAGAGUUACAAAAUAAGAAUGUUGAGUCAUUUCUUCCAUUGUUCUGGUUUUGGAUAGAAGUGACCUGUAACUAAAAUGUUUAUGAUUACCCAGUUUUAGACCCCAAGGAAGGUUCAUCCACUACACUGAAAGGCAGUUACUGGGCAGUCUGCCCCUGUCAUGAACUUUUAAUAAGGUUAAACAUAUAAAUUUCCUUUUAUGGUUUAACUCCUCUGCUACUUUGGCCUAACCUCUGUGAAAAGAGUUGAACCACAGUUCCACUUUUCAAAUCGUGAAAAUUAUCAAAAUAUUUCCAUUCUUUUAUCAAGAUAAGUAUGUCAAACUCUUUCAACCUUUAAACAAUUGUUUUAUAACCACGCCUUAUUGUGAAGUCCCUAACAAUAAUUUCAACAGUAAUAUGAAACUAAGUGCUGGAUUCUGGUUUAUUUUGAUGCUUACAUGUAGCGAGGAGAAAAAUGGCAAGAAUGGGGCUGGCUGCAAUUGCAUACAACUCACACGUAUCUUGCUUUAUUAAACCUGGAAAUGUUGGUUUAGUGGUUAUGUGCAGGCACUGACUUGCUGUGGCAUGGUCCUCUAACAGGAUUUGUAUUUUUGGAUGGAAGUUGCUUGCUUUAAAUUAUUCCCAUGUGUCCUGAUCAAACCACUGAUCAGAAAGAUAACAUUAUUUUUCAGAGAUUUAAAACACACAGGUGUCCAUUUGAGAAAGGCAUUAUUACUAUUAUUAUUAUUAAUAAUAAUAAUAAUCUUAUUAUUAUUCCCUGCCUCUGCCAGUUUCCCUGAAAUGGACUCAAGGCAGCUUACAGAUAAAAAUAACAACAGCUAAAAACGUGGCCCAGGUUCAUUAAUCAUUGCUAGAAUUAAAACUAUAUAUCUAUACCUCUAUCUAUCUAUCUAAUUUAUUUGGAUUAACAGAAAAUUGGAUAUGUUAAGAGUUUGAUAAAAUUAAGAACGAAUAAUUCAGGGGAGAAAGUCAUUCAUUUCUGUACUAACAAACAUACUGGGAAUUCUCCUUAAGCUAAAAUAUUCAGAUUGAAGGAGAACCAAAGCAGGUAAAAUUUCUGCCACACUAUCUAAAAUGUUACAAAACAGAACAUAAUGGAAAGCAGACACUACACUUUAUUCUGUUUUAUAAAAUUUGAUUCUGCCUCUCCAUUGGCUUCAGACAUCCAUCAGAAUAAUACCAUCACAUGUAGUAAUGAAAAGCACCAGAAUCUUAUAUGUGAUGCUACUCCUCUAUACAGUUAGUACAAAACUGUGCUAAGUUUUGUUGCGCCAUAUUCCAAGGAGAUGCACAGGACAGGGAAUAAGAUGUCUCCAUUUUAAAAUCCCUAAAGCCUAGGGCUGGCAAUAACUUUUAUUCCAACUGCUUUUGCAAUCUGAUACAUCUGUUACACUCAGAACACUAUAAAUUUGUCACAUGUCAUUUAGCUUUGUGAGAGAAUGUGUCACUAGAACUGGCACGUCAUAGCUUUACAAGUUGUUGCAUUCUCAAAUUGAUUUUGUUGUUUAUGAAUUACAUAAAUAAAAGCAAUCUCUCUCCCUCGGCAUAUUAAGUGUUUGAUAAAAGAUACCCAUGCAAACAUAACCUCAACAGCUAGAAAAUAUUAAUACAGGUAGAAUAAUAGAGUCUUUGUUCUUAUUCUUACAGACAUGCAAAUGUUUUUGUUGAAAUUAUACAAUUCAACCUGAAAUGUACACGGUAUGUGUAGUUUUUCAUCCACAGUAACUAAAAUGUUAUAAGAGUGAACAUCAAUAGAAGCAGAUCACACAAUUGCUUAUUAUUUAUUAAAAUUAUACCCCAUUCUUCCUUCCAAAGAACCCUAGGGUAUUAAACAACAGGAAAUAACGCAAUAGAACAAAAAAAAAAUAAAAACAAUUUGGAUACAGAUGCAGACUGGGAAAGAUCUCUUGCUAAAUGACUUGUUGGAAAAGCAAGAUUUUCAGUAGAUGCUGACAAGGCAACAGAGAGUGCACCUGUCUAAUAUUCAGGGGAGGGGAUUCUAAAGGGUUGGUACACAAAACUAAAGGCCCAAUAAAGAAUGGACCUUCUGGUAAGAUGGCAUCUGCAGAAAGCCCUCACCUGCAGAGUGCAGUGAUUUGUUGGAUAGAUAACAGAUGAGAAAAUAUCUCAGGUAUCCUGGUCCAAACCCAGCACCUUGAACUUAGUCAGCCAGCUAAAUGGUGACCACUGAGAUCACCAGGGCUUCUAGUGUCAAAGACAGAUCCAAGAGCAUCUCCAGACUAAGGGAGCAUGAUCCCAUCCUAAGCAGGCAAUUGACCAAUUAUACAGGCUUAGGAACCACCUGCCCACAAUGUUUCUGAGCACAAUGCCCUUAAUAGCUUUGACCCUGUAUACCUGAAGGAGUGUUUCAGCCCCUAUUGUUCAGCCCAGACACUGAAGUCCAGCUCCAAGGGCCUUCUAGUGGUGCCUUCAUUGCGAGAAGUUACAGGGAACCAGAUGAAGGGCCUUCUCAGUAGUGAUGCCUGUGCUGUGGAAUGCCAUCCCAUCAGAUGUUAAAGAGAUAAAUAAUUAUAUGAUCUGUAGACAUCUGAAGGCAGCCCAGUAUUGGAAAGCUUUUAAUGUGUGACGUUCUGCUGUGUUUUUGUAUAUUCUCUUGGAAGCCACCCAAAGCAUCUGAGGCAACCCAGUCAGAUGGGAAGAGUACAAUAACAAUGAUAAUUGCUGUUGUUGCUGAUAUCACCAUCAUCUCCACCUUACCAGGAUUCAAAGUCAGUUCCUUGGCCUUCAUCCAGCCCACCACCAAGUCCAGGCAGUUGGUAGCUAUCAUAAACUAACGAGCCUGAGAUGUAUAUUUCUAGGAGUGAUUGGAUCACUGCCUCUUUCAGAACAGCUGGGACUACUCCCUCCCACAAGUGAAUCCAUGAAUGUGGAUAUGGCAUCAAGACUACUACAGAGGUGAGCAACAAGUUGAUCACAUAGCUUAGUUGUAAAUUCCAAUCAGAUCUACUCAUACAUAGCUGAUGGCUGUAUUUCACCCACUUCAGUUCACUUUGAGAUUAUACGUCAGUUGAAAACUUAUGCUAGAAUGUCCAAAACAGUGAUCUUCAAGAUCCUGACAAACCUGAAUUUAUUUUUAAUUAUCUAGAGGGUUAUAGUAAGUAGUAUGUUCAGGAAUGAAUACUGCAUGAAACUCAAAGCAUUUAAAUUCAAUUUUUGGUAGUUUCAGAACACCUAUCACAGGAAGCAUCUAUUACUAUUAAUUAAAUUAUGUUGUUGUUAUGAAAAUACAGUGGAAACGCGAUGAUUUAAUCAGAGGAGCACAGUUAGUGUUAAAAAUUUAAACAUCAUUGCAAAUUAAUGAGACAUAAGAAAGCUUUUAACCUCAGGGUUGCAAAAGUGUGGGGGCACUACAGGAGCAGAUAAAAUCUAUCUAUGCAGAGUAGGAAAUGAAGUGAAAAUUAGACACUUGUAAAAGGGAAGAACAUAAGCCAGACAUUCUUUUUAUCAAAUUUUUAUAGGCUGCCUUCUACCCACCAAAACAGGGGGCCUUCAAGGCAGUGUACAACAAAAAUAUGUCAUAAUGCAAAUAAAUAAAUAAUGGUCCAAUGUUUGACUCAGUAUACAGCAGCUUCCUAUGAUCCUAUGAAUAAAUCACCAAAAGCAAUGAACAGUAGCUGUAAGGUAUGAAAGCAGUACAUGAGCAGGAACAAAGGUAGUAAUUCCACUUACCUUCAGUGGUAUGUGGUUUCGUGGCAUGGUGACAUCCCACCAGUGGGAUUCCCUAGAUGAUGGGAGCUACUAACAACCUGUCCCACCAGCUUGGGAACUUUUGAAUUUGGUCCACUGCAGAUUGGCCAAUAGCAGCUGGACCAAGAGGCAAGCACAAUUGGGAUGUGCACUGGGCCCAUAACUCAGAGGUUGAUCAAUUGGAACCAUCCUCUGCUACCAAGGCAGUGGCAUGACAUCCUUGACCCAGCUCAUAUCAACUGGGCAAGAAAGAAAGUGAAUCAGACUAUGAGGCAGAAGGUGGAGCAGUUAGGUGGCUGGGAGAUUCAGCACCCUGAAAUCACGUUUGACAAAGAGACCCUCUGGGUGACAUCCAGUUCUCAGCAUCAGGGAAUGAUGUCUGAUUGAAAGAUAUUGUGGUUGGGCUAAAGUGUUGGCUGCAGAUGUGAGUGAUUUGGCAGUGAGCAGGUAUUUGGGUUGGCUUGGAUAGCUGAUAAGGCAUUGGGUAAAAGCUUUAGUCAGGGUCAGAUGGGAGGUUGUAAGCCUUUGUCUGCCCUUCCAAGGGAAUGGGGUAUCCCAUUAAAGGGAUCCUGGAGGAGGUGCUUCUGCCCCCAGUUGGGGGCACUCAAGACAAAUAUAUUUGAUACAUGUCAUAAGAUUCCCUCACCAUUGGUUCAACCCAUUGGUCAAUUAACCAGCAUAUGCCUAAUCCAAAAAACACAUUUGUAAUCAAUAAAGUUGAUGCCUAAUUUGAGCCACAAAAAAGUAUGCUGUCACAAGUGGUCAUUCAUUUCCAUACACGGUAUGGGAUAGCAGGUCACAGCGCCUGGGCAUGCAGCUAAUCAUGCCUAUCAGUCAACAAAUAUAAAUAUGACAUAUUUGUGAAUAUUGUGAAUAUCUUAAUUUCUGAAUGUUGUGAAUAUUUUAAAGUCAUGCUGCCCUCAGUUCCUUCCAGAGGAAGGGCAGGAUAUAAAUUGAAUAAUAAAAAUAGUAAUAGUAAUAAUUCAAAAUGGAGCAUAAAAUGAUGUCUGUCGUUACUCUGUAUGUAGCUAGAACUUUAUUGCUGAUUACAGUUGCAGCACUGCUCAAUGUGAAGCUUUCUUUAGCCAUGCCCAGAUUCAGCAGUUUCAUUUAGAAGGGGAAAGUGAUGGCAAUCUACGCAAAUCAUUCUUUGCAAUCAGCAAGGCAUCAUCUACCACAUCCAACCAUAUCACAAAGCCCUCCAGGUUUUCCUCUUUACAACACAUCUCUCAUCUUCAUGUUGGAUACAUGUAACUGGCUGGACUCUAUUCUACUUUACAGUCCAGCACACCAAUCCUACACUUCAGCAGCAGGCUUAUUUCCAAGAAAGUGCAUCAAGGGCUGCAGACUAUGGAGGCUGCUACACUGGCACCUUUCCCCAAUCUGAAAACACACAUCAGUCUUAAACAUACUGUUAUGUACUGAGUUGAAUAGGAUCCAAAAGGCAGCAGUCUGACUGGUCCUAGAACAAUAGGAUUCAGAAUGCAGCAGUCUGAUUAGUCCUAGAACAAUAGGGUCCAGAAUGCAGCAGUCUGAUUGGUCCUAGAACAAUGCAGCAGUAUGAUUGGUCCACAGGAGCCACCCAAUCCAGCUCCAGGUGGAAGUGAAUCCGCAACCUGAUUGGCCUACAGGAGAAUCCCAGAAUUAGCCAAUCACGUGCGGCCCAUUGUGUAAAUAAUGUAUAUAAAGCAGAUAUUUUGGGAAAACUGUCAUUCCUCACUACUAUGAGCUGAAUAAAGAGCAUGAAAUCCACACUCGACUCCAAGUAUAUUUCACACACAGAAAUAACCAACCUUUGUUUCAAAUGUGGUCAUUAACUAAAGAGUUCACAGUUCAGGGGUGGUUGUGAGUGUGGGGGAUGCUGCCAUCAACAUAUUUUUUGCCAUCACCAACACAGCAGUAUAUAAAUCCUACUUAAGUUAGUGGGAUGAAUAUGUGGGUAAUUGUGCACAGGACUGCAGCAAUAGCAGUUAAAGCAUAUUAAUAUCUAAAUUCAUCACCAUAAUCAUGUGUUUAGCUUAAUGUCUUCUUAAGUUCAAACUAGAAAAAUAUAAUUGUGAGGUAAAAAAUUCUGCCUAUCUUCUACUAGGCCGAUAUUUUUGUUCUCUAUAUUUGCAUUUACUAAACUGCAUCCUACAACUUCCAUUUUUUCCCUCACUUAUCAGACGUUUCUUCUUUUCAGAUCUUGCCAAAGGUAACCUUCGCAAACCCUGAGCUUUCAGGAAGGGAAGAACACACACCAGCUCACAGUUUGUGAUUGCUUUACAGUGUUACCUUAUGCUGUAUAUUACCUUGUCAAUUUAAACAGCCACAAAACGUUAGCAUUUUAUAAGGAAUGACCUUUCAUGCUGUGAAAUGCAAUUAGCAAUGCACUCUGGGGUAACACUGUCCUCUGCAAACAGGUGGUGAACUAGCAGCUGCAACUUUGAUACUAUAAUGAAAGAGAAGGACAACUUGAAGCAAU